Molecule: non-coding RNA, 111 nt
Filed under: unclassified sequences
Also listed under: 1 other name
Description: Flavo-1 RNA
Rfam family: Flavo-1 RNA
Source: RNAcentral
UCGCGUUAAGGAUAGUAGUGGAAAUCCUUUUUAUGUCAGUUCGAGUGAAUUUGCUUUGCAAAUUUGUAUCGAGAACACAUAAAAAGAUUGAAACGGAUAGCCUGUUUAAAC